RNAcentral lists this ribosomal RNA (480 nucleotides) under uncultured bacterium. RNAcentral's name for it is "bacterial SSU rRNA". It matches the Rfam family "Bacterial small subunit ribosomal RNA", at positions 328 to 793 of the family's 1533-position model. The record is from RNAcentral.
UCAGUCGACUCCUACGGGGAGGCAGCAGUGGGGGAAUAUUGCACAAUGGGCGCAAGCCUGAUGCAGCCAUGCCGCGUGUAUGAAGAAGGACCUUCGGGUUGUAAAGUACUUUCAGCAGUGAGGAAGGUGGGAUAUGUUAAUAGCAUAUUCAUUUGACGUUAGCUGCAGAAGAAAGCACCGGCUAACUCCGUGCCAGCAGCCGCGGUAAUACGGAGGGUGCGAGCGUUAAUCGGAAUUACUGGGCGUAAAGCGCAUGCAGGUGGUUUGUUAAGUCAGAUGUGAAAGCCCGGGGCUCAACCUCGGAAUUGCAUUUGAAACUGGCAAACUAGAGUACUGUAGAGGGGGGUAGGAAUUUCAGGUGUAGCGGUGAAAUGCGUAGAGAUCUGAAGGAAUACCGGUGGCGAAGGCGGCCCCCUCGGACAGAUACUGACACUCAGAUGCGAAAGCGUGGGGAGCAAACAGGAUUAGAUACCCUGGUAG